RNAcentral lists this ribosomal RNA (253 nucleotides) under uncultured bacterium. RNAcentral's name for it is "partial 16S ribosomal RNA". It matches the Rfam family "Bacterial small subunit ribosomal RNA", at positions 524 to 776 of the family's 1533-position model. The record is from RNAcentral.
UACGUAGGGUGCAAGCGUUAAUCGGAAUUACUAGGCGUAAAGCGUGCGCAGGCGGUCUUGCAAGACAGAUGUGAAAUCCCCGGGCUCAACCUGGGAACUGCAUUUGUGACUGCAAGGCUGGAGUACGGCAGAGGGGGAUGGAAUUCCGCGUGUAGCAGUGAAAUGCGUAGAUAUGCGGAGGAACACCGAUGGCGAAGGCAAUCCCCUGGGCCUGUACUGACGCUCAUGCACGAAAGCGUGGGGAGCAAACAGG